UUGCUGGGUGGAUUAUUGGCGAACGGGUGAGUAUCACGUGAGUAACCUGCCCUUAACUCUGGGAUAAUCUUGGAAAACUGGGUCUAAUACCGGAUAGGAGCGUCCACCGCAUGGUGGGUGUUGGAAAGAUUUAUCGGUUUUGGAUGGACUCGCGGCCUAUCAGCUUGUUGGUGAGGUAAUGGCUCACCAAGGCGACGACGGGUAGCCGGCCUGAGAGGGUGACCGGCCACGCUGGGACUGAAACACGGCCCAUACUCCUACGGGAGGCAGCAGUGGGGAAUAUUGCACAAUGGGCGAAAGCCUGAUGCAGCGACGCCGCGUGAGGGAUGACGGCCUUCGGGUUGUAAACCUCUUUCAGUAGGGAAGAAGCGAAAGUGACGGUACCUGCAGAAGAAGCACCGGCUAACUACGUGCCAGCAGCCGCGGUAAUACGUAGGGUGCGAGCGUUAUCCGGAAUUAUUGGGCGUAAAGAGCUCGUAGGCGGUUUGUCGCGUCUGUCGUGAAAGUCCGGGGCUUAACCCCGGAUCUGCGGUGGGUACGGGCAGACUAUAGUGCGUAGGGAGACGGAAUCUGUGUGCGGUGGAUCGCAAUAUCAGGAGGAACACCGAUGGCGAAGGCAGGUCUCUGGGCUGUAACUGACGCUGAGGAGCGAAAGCAUGGGGAGCGAACAGGAUUAGAUACCCUGGUAGUCCAUGCCGUAAACGUUGGGCACUAGGUGUGGGGACCAUUCCACGGUUUCCGCGCCGCAGCUAACGCAUUAAGUGCCCCGCCUGGGGAGUACGGCCGCAAGGCUAAAACUCAAAGGAAUUGACGGGGGCCCGCACAAGCGGCGGAGCAUGCGGAUUAAUUCGAUGCAACGCGAAGAACCUUACCAAGGCUUGACAUGUUCUCGAUCGCCGUAGAGAUACGGUUUCCCCUUUGGGGCGGGUUCA
RNAcentral lists this ribosomal RNA (932 nucleotides) under Micrococcus luteus. RNAcentral describes it as "bacterial SSU rRNA". It matches the Rfam family "Bacterial small subunit ribosomal RNA", at positions 80 to 1034 of the family's 1533-position model. The record is from RNAcentral. Lineage: Bacteria; Bacillati; Actinomycetota; Actinomycetes; Micrococcales; Micrococcaceae.